CUGUAAAAGGCUGAGCUCUCUCUGCGGCCAACCUAACCCGACAGCAACUAGCAGCAUUUUGACUGACAUACUCAGCAGACACAUACGGGAGAGGCAGGUUUGUGGAUCCCAGAAUGUGAAGGACUUAAAGUCUCCUUUUACCUCAGUGAGCUCUUCUUUCCAAGAAUACCAAGGUAUCAGCUGGGCAUCAGUCAUGAAGAUCCUUUACUGUCUCCUUGUGGCCACCCUCUUCCUAUUCCAAGCUGCUCCAGGCGAUCGUUAUCCUAGGCACCUCAUCACCUGUGCCUCCCUGGGUGGAUUUUGUAUGCUGCAGCCUUACCAGACCUGCCCAUCGGGUAUAAUCCUGGAUGCACCAUGUCAUCUCAAAGCAAGAUGCUGCUUGAAGAAGAAAUCUGCUUAACUUGGGCCUUCCCCCCCCCCAUCUCCUCUACCAGUUGUCCAUCAUUUUGUGAGCUGUAAAACUUAAGUGGAGCUGCAGAGGUUUCAGAGGGCAGAGCUUCUCUGUCCUCUCUACAAUAAAUACCUUGCAAUGGUCACCACUGAUUAGUCAUAGACCUGCUGUGGUUGGCCUAAUCUCUGUCUAGGAUUUAGUGUUAUUAACGGUAUAUUUGUUGAUCUCUGUUUGGUCACCCCCUCAAGUCAUAAACUGGUGAACAGUGUAUUCAACCUACUUUGAUGAUUGUUUAUAUUUAAAGGUUGGCUGUAAAAGAGUCUAAUAUUACUUAUUUUUAAACGUUG
Molecule: long non-coding RNA, 738 nt
Organism: Sphaerodactylus townsendi
Lineage: Eukaryota; Metazoa; Chordata; Lepidosauria; Squamata; Sphaerodactylidae
Exons: 3
Source: RefSeq, a predicted model, not a curated record